UUUUUUAAACAUAUUUAUCUAUGAACGCUGUUAUCUGUCUACUAAAUGUUGUCACAAGCAAAAUUACAGAUAAAAACACAUUGGCGCGCAUUUUUUGCGGCGUGAGAGCGACUGCUGAAAAGUUUAGCCUGUUGCCUCGUGAAGUGACGUCAAAAUGACGUCACAUUGUCGCGGAAGAUUUGUUGUCACCAGCCAUCUUAGUUCAAGCACACUCUUGAUAUAUUACAACCAAGUGAUUGUGCAGCAACGGGAACUGGACAGAUGAUCUGUGAAUUCGGAUAAGCAAGGGGGAAAAUGUUACACGACCAUUCCAGGAGAUAAAAUCAAGAAUGUUGAAUCAUUGAGGAACACACCAAAUACACCCUGGGCUGUGAAUUAUGUUAACGGAAGUGGAAGUGAACACCAAAGAAAGAAGAUUCUGGCAUUCAAUAAUUUCGAAUAGUGUAUAAAUUUUCUAUAAUCUAAAAAUAAUAAAAUGUUAACGCAAAUGUGUCUUGGAGUUCUUUGUUGAAUGGUGACUUCGCAUGACUGAAAGUUGAAGUAUACUAUAUGGACUUGAUUAGAGACCGACCAUUUAAUAUUCAAGGAGGUGGGGACCUGGAACUUUUCUAUUGAGAUUACAUAUGUUUUC
Haliotis rufescens (red abalone) is the source of this 631-nucleotide long non-coding RNA. RefSeq lists it as uncharacterized. The transcript has 3 exons. Lineage: Eukaryota; Metazoa; Mollusca; Gastropoda; Lepetellida; Haliotidae. The record is from RefSeq and is a predicted model, not a curated record.